RNAcentral lists this ribosomal RNA (253 nucleotides) under uncultured bacterium. RNAcentral describes it as "partial 16S ribosomal RNA". It matches the Rfam family "Bacterial small subunit ribosomal RNA", at positions 524 to 776 of the family's 1533-position model. The record is from RNAcentral.
UACGUAGGGUGCAAGCGUUAAUCGGAAUUACUGGGCGUAAAGCGCACGUAGGCGGCUUGGUAUGUCGGGUGUGAAAUCCCCGGGCUCAACCUGGGAACUGCAUCCGAAACUGCCUUGCUAGAGUAUGGGAGAGGGAAGUGGAAUUUCCGGUGUAGCGGUGAAAUGCGUAGAUAUCGGGAGGAACAUCAGUGGCGAAGGCGACUUCCUGGACCAAUACUGACGCUCAGGUGCGAAAGCGUGGGGAGCAAACAGG